AUGGCUUCUGUUAGUCAAUUUGUUGAGUCUCCUUCUGAGGGACUAUUGGAUCAGUUUUCUAAAGAUCAGUUGCUUGAAGUUGCUAGUCAUUAUGAUGUUGGGUUAUCAAUCACUGAUAAGCGUUUAAAGGAGAACAUUAAGGCUAUAUUAAAAUCUGCAUUAGUAGAGCAGGGUGUUUUGAAGGCUUCACCAGUUUCUACUAGUCCCUUAUCUUUGAGACCUUCUUUAACAUUUGAACAGCAAAAAGAGUUAAUUUUGUUAGAGGCUGCUGCUAAAGAGAAGUUGAUUCAGACACAGCUAGAGGUGGAAAAGCAGAUGGAAUUGUCUAGGCAUAAGUUGGAGCAGAAGAGACUUAAGGUUGAGCAAUAUCGUUUGGAUUUUGUUAAGGCAGGGAGGCUCUCUGGGGCUGGAUUUUCAGCUGGUAUUGUUAAGUCAACCAGUUUUGAUGUAGUUAAAUAUCUUCAGCUACAUCUGACUGUCUAUAAGGCUACUGUUUUUGGAUUAAUUUGUCUUGAUUAUUAAGGCUUCAUUUGAUUGUCAGUGAAGUGAAGAGUCUGUUAAGAGGGACUCUACUUGGCAUCAUUCUUCUAACUCUCGGAUGUGUGCUGCAGGGGAGCAAGUGAGUAAUUUACCUAAGGUUAGAAAUCUUGAAAAUAUCUGCCAUUACUGUCGUGCCAGUGGUCACUGGAAAAAUGAAUGUCCUGUUUUGAAGGCAAAAACAGAGGGCCCUUCUUCCUCUAAAACACAUUUUAGAAGUGCUCCAGUCCCUGUAAAACCUGUUAGAUUGGUUCCUGCUUUUCCUCCUGUUUUUAAAUGAUUAAAUGAUUAUAACUUAAUUUUAAAAUGUCUAGUUGUGUCCUCUAGUAUGAAUGAAUUUCAUUUCAUGUUUUUGGGGAAAAAAGUUUCUAUUUAGCCCUGCUUUAGAUCACUGAAUUAGGUCUCUGAAGAAAGACAUGAUUUUCGGCUCUUGCUUAUAAAAAUAUAGACAUGCCGACAUUGACAGUACAUUUUCCAUAACAAAAAAAAUAUUAUUUAUAAAAAAAAAACUUAUUUUAUGUAUUUUCAUAAUUUCAAAAAUGAAGUUUAUACUGUAGAAACAAAGAAGUAAAGAAGGG
RNAcentral lists this long non-coding RNA (1115 nucleotides) under Astyanax mexicanus (Mexican tetra). Its description in RNAcentral is "lncRNA (ENSAMXG00005006072.1)". Lineage: Eukaryota; Metazoa; Chordata; Actinopteri; Characiformes; Acestrorhamphidae. The record is from RNAcentral.